RNAcentral lists this unclassified non-coding RNA (571 nucleotides) under Phleum crypsoides. Its description in RNAcentral is "sequence contains ITS1, 5.8S rRNA gene and ITS2". The stretch from base 200 to 355 matches the Rfam family "5.8S ribosomal RNA". Lineage: Eukaryota; Viridiplantae; Streptophyta; Magnoliopsida; Poales; Poaceae. The record is from RNAcentral.
CUGUGACGUGUUAUCUAGCCUGCCAGCGGCGGCAUGGUCCGUCGUUGGCCAAAGUCCUUGAUAACCUCCUCUCUCCGGAGCGGGGGCUCGGGGUAAAAGAACCCACGGCGCCUAAGGCGUCAAGGAACACUAUGCCUAACGCGGGGACGCGGCUGGCGUGCUAGCCAUCCCUCGUGUUGCAAUGCUAUUUAAUCCACACGACUCUCGGCAACGGAUAUCUCGGCUCUCGCAUCGAUGAARAACGUAGCGAAAUGCGAUACCUGGUGUGAAUUGCAAAAUCCCGCGAACCAUCGAGUCUUUGAACGCAAGUUGCGCCCAAGGCCACCUGGCUGAGGGCACGCCUGCCUGGGCGUCACGCCAAACACGCUCCCAAUCCCUCGUAGGGAUUGGGAUGCGGCUUGUGGCCCCCCGUCUCGCAAGGGGUGGUGGGCCAAAGAUGCGGCUGCCGGCGUAUCGUGUCGGACACAGCGCGUGGUGGGCGACCUCGCUUUACUUACCGCAGUGCAUCCGGCCCGUAGCCGACAUGAUGGCCUUGAAGGACCCUAUAAACGGAGCGCAUGACGAUUCGACC